CACGUAGGGUGCGAGCGUUAAUCGGAAUUACUGGGCGUAAAGCGUGCGCAGGCGGUGAUGUAAGACAGAUGUGAAAUCCCCGGGCUCAACCUGGGAACUGCAUUUGUGACUGCAUCGCUGGAGUGCGGCAGAGGGGGAUGGAAUUCCGCGUGUAGCAGUGAAAUGCGUAGAUAUGCGGAGGAACACCGAUGGCGAAGGCAAUCCCCUGGGCCUGCACUGACGCUCAUGCACGAAAGCGUGGGGAGCAAACAGG
RNAcentral lists this ribosomal RNA (253 nucleotides) under uncultured bacterium. RNAcentral describes it as "partial 16S ribosomal RNA". It matches the Rfam family "Bacterial small subunit ribosomal RNA", at positions 524 to 776 of the family's 1533-position model. The record is from RNAcentral.